Small nucleolar RNA from Echinops telfairi (small Madagascar hedgehog), 110 nucleotides. Lineage: Eukaryota; Metazoa; Chordata; Mammalia; Afrosoricida; Tenrecidae. The record is from Ensembl.
CCCCUGUGAUGAGUUGCCAUGCUAAUACUGAGACACCAUGUGGGGGUGGUUUACCCUGCAUUGGGUGUUAUUGAGGUACAUUCUACUUCUCUUGCAUCUCUCUGAGGGGC